Molecule: ribosomal RNA, 701 nt
Filed under: Lactococcus sp. HXF0057
Lineage: Bacteria; Bacillati; Bacillota; Bacilli; Lactobacillales; Streptococcaceae
Description: bacterial SSU rRNA
Rfam family: Bacterial small subunit ribosomal RNA
Source: RNAcentral
AUGCAGUUGAGCGCUGAAGGUUGGUACUUGUACCGACUGGAUGAGCAGCGAACGGGUGAGUAACGCGUGGGGAAUCUGCCUUUGAGCGGGGGACAACAUUUGGAAACGAAUGCUAAUACCGCAUAAAAACUUUAAACACAAGUUUUAAGUUUGAAAGAUGCAAUUGCAUCACUCAAAGAUGAUCCCGCGUUGUAUUAGCUAGUUGGUGAGGUAAAGGCUCACCAAGGCGAUGAUACAUAGCCGACCUGAGAGGGUGAUCGGCCACAUUGGGACUGAGACACGGCCCAAACUCCUACGGGAGGCAGCAGUAGGGAAUCUUCGGCAAUGGACGAAAGUCUGACCGAGCAACGCCGCGUGAGUGAAGAAGGUUUUCGGAUCGUAAAACUCUGUUGGUAGAGAAGAACGUUGGUGAGAGUGGAAAGCUCAUCAAGUGACGGUAACUACCCAGAAAGGGACGGCUAACUACGUGCCAGCAGCCGCGGUAAUACGUAGGUCCCGAGCGUUGUCCGGAUUUAUUGGGCGUAAAGCGAGCGCAGGUGGUUUAUUAAGUCUGGUGUAAAAGGCAGUGGCUCAACCAUUGUAUGCAUUGGAAACUGGUAGACUUGAGUGCAGGAGAGGAGAGUGGAAUUCCAUGUGUAGCGGUGAAAUGCGUAGAUAUAUGGAGGAACACCGGUGGCGAAAGCGGCUCUCUGGCCUGUAAC